UACGGAAGGCAGCAGUGGGGAAUAUUGCACAAUGGGCGAAAGCCUGAUGCAGCUAUGCCGCGUGUAUGAAGAAGGCCUUAGGGUUGUAAAGUACUUUCAGUCGUGAGGAAGGUGUUAAGGUUAAUAACCUUAGCAAUUGACGUUAGCGACAGAAGAAGCACCGGCUAACUCCGUGCCAGCAGCCGCGGUAAUACGGAGGGUGCGAGCGUUAAUCGGAAUUACUGGGCGUAAAGGGCACGCAGGCGGUUAAUUAAGUUGGAUGUGAAAUCCCCGGGCUUAACCUGGGAAUGGCAUUCAAGACUGGUUAGCUAGAGUCUUGUAGAGGGGGGUUAGAAUUCCAUGUGUAGCGGUGAAAUGCGUAGAGAUGUGGAGGAAUACCGGUGGCGAAGGCGGCCCCCUGGACAAAGACUGACGCUCAUGUGCGAAAGCGUGGGGAGCAAACAGGGAUUAGAUACC
This 456-nucleotide ribosomal RNA is filed under the name uncultured bacterium. RNAcentral's name for it is "bacterial SSU rRNA". It matches the Rfam family "Bacterial small subunit ribosomal RNA", at positions 340 to 786 of the family's 1533-position model. The record is from RNAcentral.